ACAGCUACUUGCGGACAAAGGGCUGGCUGCUCAGCUGCUUGAGAUUGCAGCAAUAGCAGGAACUGAGAGAUGCAUUUGCAGAGGGAUUUCCUCAAGCAGUCCCUGGCAGCCACGAGGUGAGAGGAGAAGACAGGUCAAAAUCCACGCUCAGAGAGAUUACAAAUGACAGCAAAGGGGUACAACCCUGAUAGCACUGUCAGGAGACAAAGAUGCCCAGGGUGAGAGGAAACAAGGAGAGGUAACGAGGCAGAGCUGCGGCAGCGGGACCGGUGCCAGCAAGGACAGGGAAGAACCGCAAAAAAUGCAGGAAUGAGCAGGAAAGACUGGCCCACUUCCUCUGGAAGCUAGGGGAGCAGAAGGUGGCUUGGCGCUCCAGGCGGGGAGUGUGGACUGCCGAAUGCCAGCUGUGGGCCCACAGACACUGGGAGGCCAUGACAGAGAGAGCUACAACGACUGGAAGACAGAGUGCAGGAGCACCCCCGCACCCCAGCGCGCUGUUCUCAUGAAGUCAGGUCAAACAUUCCCACACACCGGAAAGGAAUCUUCACAAUAAUCUUGGAGUAGCACCCACACUCCUGUGGCCAGGCACCCUCUGGCGCUCCCUCUGAUAAGGAGCCUGAAGCUCGUAAAACUCCGAGUAAGGAGAGAGCAGCCACACCUUUGCCGCAUAGCUAAGAUACUGACCCAGCCCUCCAGCUGCCGGACUCCAGUCUCAAACGAAUUCCAGGAGACUAUAGAGACCGGAUUCCAACAUGAGGCCAACAUGGGACGAGGGAAACAGCCAGAAACCCACACAUUCAAGAAAACUUCUACUAGACAAUCUGAAAAUGAUCCUCAAAAAACUGUUACUUCCCAUUUAUAUGAGCACAUAUCCAGCUCCUCUUAGAUUCCAGUAGACUUUUUAAAGUUAUUUAUUUUAUUCUUUAUAUACAUUGGUGGGUCUUGCCUGCAUGUGUGUCUGUGCGAAGGUGUCAAAACUCCUGGAGUUGCAAUUACAGACAAUCGUGAGCUUCCAUGUGGGUUCUGGGAAUUGAGCCAGGGCCAUCUCUCUACUUCCUCCACAUGAAAGUCCCCGGCAGAGGUAACUUUGCUACUUAGAAUCCUACACUAGAGCCCAGAGCACUUUUGAAGAGUGCAGUCUAACUGUUGGUUCACAAAUGAGAAGACCAAGACUAAGACUACGUUAAGAACUUGCCUGGGUAGCUAAGAAGUGGCAGAUAGAAGCCUUGCCGUCUCAGCUCAUCCCUCUGCUCCUGCAGCAGACAGCCACUCACUCUAACGCACCCUUACUGGAUGGGAGCCGCAUGCAGUGUGCCCAAGGGUGACAAGGGUGAGUGUGGCAUCCUCUGGGAGAGGAUUAAAAAAAAUGGUGGAUUUUAAAUAGUACUCUCACCAUCUUAGUUUGAAAAUCAUUACACAGUCUUACAUGAAAUUUUAGUGGUAUAUCUGAAACGAAAUCUCCUCCAUGGCCUUAAUUUUUAAUUGAACUCUUCCAUUGCCCCUGUAGCUCUUCCAACUAAAGAGGGUAGAUUAUCACAGUUAGCCCAUCAAUGAAGAUGCCCUUGGUGACUGCAGCGGAGAUGAUCCACACGCUGCCAGUUCCAGCACGCCAGACAGUCUUCGAAGAGCUUUAUACACAUUAAUUUAUGUAAUCCACUCAAGCCGCCUGAAAGGAAGCUGCCAGCACUGUGCAGACCUGUGCAGAGAGGAGCAGUCGCUCAGCUGCAGGUGCACCAGCAUCGGCCCCCGGGCACGCCUGCAUCACCGCUGCCCUCCUAUGCUUUCCUUAACGAGCUGAAAAUUACUCCGGCCCUCUGCCACUCCUCUGGGUCGAGCAUUCUAUGACUUUCUGAUUAACAAUGUUAAAAAAGAAAAAAAGAAAAAAAACAAA
This is a long non-coding RNA of Alexandromys fortis (reed vole), 1891 nucleotides long. RefSeq lists it as uncharacterized. The record is from RefSeq and is a predicted model, not a curated record. Lineage: Eukaryota; Metazoa; Chordata; Mammalia; Rodentia; Cricetidae. The transcript has 2 exons.